Molecule: long non-coding RNA, 335 nt
Organism: Pomacea canaliculata
Lineage: Eukaryota; Metazoa; Mollusca; Gastropoda; Architaenioglossa; Ampullariidae
Exons: 3
Source: RefSeq, a predicted model, not a curated record
GGUAACGUGUACAGUAAGAGUAGGACAGCAAGGUUUUAUUGGUAACGUGUACAGUAAGAGUAGGACAGCAAGGUUUUAUUGGUAACGUGUACAGUAAGAGUAGGACAACAAGGUUUUAUUGGUAACGUGUACAGUAAGAGUAGGACAACAAGGUUUUAUUGGUAACAUGUACAGUAAGACACAUCACUAUACACAAUAGAUGCUGCUGAAGGACAAGCAGAUUUUGUGGAUGAGAUAUGUACAUAGUAGAUGACACAUGUGCACAACAUAUAAGUUGAAGCUGGACAAGCAGGUUUUGUUGUCGAAUCAAUCAUCAGCGCAGAUCUGUUUGUUGU